AUACAAAGAUUAUGAGAAUCGAUAAUAUCAACAAGGUCUCUUCCACAAGUUUUUGUUGUAGAACAACCCCAUGACUCAUGAUGAGAAUUAAAAUCUCCUACAAUUAAAAAUGGUUUAGGUAAAAUAGAAAUAAUGUUGUUUAUUUCUCUAAAUAUAGAAGGACACGGACGCGGGAUAUAAAUAGAUACAAAACAAAUAUUAUUAACAAUGGAUGCUAUUAUGGAAAAAUCAUUAUGGUGAGAUGGUAAGUCAAACUGGGAAAAAUUAAGGGACUUUUUGAUGAGUAUGGCAACACCGCCAUACCCAUCGGCUCUAUCUUCCCUGAGACAGGAAUAACCAGGAAUUUUAAAACAAAAUCCCGGUUUUAACCACGUCUCACAUAGAGCUAUAAUACAAGGGUUAAAUUUGUUAAUAAGAUAAAUUAAAUCAGAUUUGUUCUUCACUACGCUUCUGCAGUUCCAUUGUAGUACUUUGCCUAAACAUGUCCACUGGUACACCUCUUACAAGCCCCAUUCUGGUAACAUUAAAUGAUGGAAUAAAGGCUUCAUAGCCUUUUUCCAAUAAGGCAUGAUGCUUUAUAAAAGAAUUUGCAGCUGAGUGACUGGAGAAUGCCAUCGAAAUUUUGUUGCGACCGAUACGUUUCAAACUGCCUUGUACUAUGUUCGGCACCUGGAUUUUAUAUAAAAAUCUGCCAAAGCAUAUUGGAUGCAAGUUGAGAUCCUGUGUUACCUCACCAGUACUAGACCUAGCAACAUGAAUAAUGAAUGGUGAAGCAUCCAAUGCAGAAUAUUCUUUUCUAAUACCAUCUGUUAUAUUGGGAGGUACCUGAGAGGCCUGAGAUGGAAGAGCUUGUGUAUGUGGUGCUUUGAGAGGUGAUGGAUUUUCAGUGAUUUUUUCGUCACUGUCUUCGCAACGACAUCCAGUUCUACCCGAGUCUACAGCCAUUGCAUUUUUGCGUUUUUUUUUAUUACAUAUUUUGCACACCUUACUUAA
Manduca sexta (tobacco hornworm) is the source of this 993-nucleotide long non-coding RNA. RefSeq lists it as uncharacterized. The record is from RefSeq and is a predicted model, not a curated record. The transcript is spliced from 2 exons. NCBI's taxonomy places the organism in Eukaryota, Metazoa, Arthropoda, Insecta, Lepidoptera, Sphingidae.